RNA transcript from Prionailurus viverrinus (fishing cat), 2005 nucleotides. It is a transcript of the gene named phosphatidylinositol glycan anchor biosynthesis class L, with no coding region annotated. The transcript is spliced from 8 exons. NCBI's taxonomy places the organism in Eukaryota, Metazoa, Chordata, Mammalia, Carnivora, Felidae. The record is from RefSeq and is a predicted model, not a curated record.
UGGCCAUGCCUCGGGCCCUGCGACCCCUUCGCGGCCGGACGAGACGGCGGCCGCCUGCUCGGGCGCCGGGCUGCAGGAAGGGAAGUCAGGUCCCCAGUGCUGGGAGCCAGAGGGGUGCACACAUCGACCUCCCCAAGACACUUGCCAGGGCUGCGGCUGUAAUUUGCAACGGGACUUCCCUGAUAGAUCAGGCGAUGCUGAUCUGUCCAUGAUGUUCCUUAAUCUGAAGUCACACUCGUCGGAAGAGCCUGUGGCCCUCACGACUACGAAGUGCGCUCUCUCAGCCUGACUCUUCUACAGAAAUGAUUGGACGGUUCCUCAUAACCGCGUGCUUUUCCUUCAGAGGAGCCACCACCCCACAUCCCCAAAUUAAGGAAAAACAAAGUCGGUGCAUCCGGAUAAGGAGCUAACCAUAUAAUUAUGAGAAACUCGCGGGUUUUAAGAACUGAGUUACAAAACGGUGCAUUGAAGAGAGGAGGGAACUCAAGACGGGGAGGGCAGGUAUUUUCAAACGUUUCUUUUUAAACCCAAGGCACUGUAAGGACAAGGGUAGAAAACUAGACGGCAAGGGGUUUGUCUCUGAAAUCGAGAAGGCAAAAAGGCGUCGUAGAUGCUGCACAAAGUAGAGAGAACUAGAUAAAGAAGGGUUGCGGGGCGUCCUUGUAAAACCCCAGCAGGAACCCAACGUCUAAAACCUCUGGCCGGCAACGCGGACUUAAACUCGGAACGCAAUUUCGGCAAGCGCAGUUUUCCCGCCGGAGCUCGGGUCUGAGCAGUCUUCCUCCUGCGCAGGCGCGGUACCACUUACGGAGCAUGGAAGCGGUGGCUUUUCUGUGCUUAGCAGCGGCGGUCCUAGGAUGGGGCUUCCUCUGGGUUUGGGACUCUUGGGAACGCAUGAAGGGUCAGAGGCCGGCUGGCUUGCCGGGAGGUGGAAGCAGGACCCUCCUGGUGAUCGCGCACCCCGACGAUGAAGCCAUGUUCUUUGCUCCCACUGUGCUAGGCUUGGCCCGCCUGAGGCACCGGCUGUCUUUGCUCUGCUUCUCUGCAGGAAAUUACUACAAUCAAGGGGAGAUUCGUAAGAAAGAACUUUUGCAGAGCUGUGAUGUUUUGGGGAUUCCACCCUCCAGUAUAAUGAUUAUUGACGACAGGGAUUUCCCAGAUGACCCAGGUGUGCAGUGGGACACAGAGCAUGUGGCUAGCACCCUCCUCCAGCACAUAGAAGUGAACAGCAUCAACCUGGUGGUGACUUUCGACGCAGGGGGAGUGAGUGGUCACAGCAACCACGUUGCUCUGUAUGCGGCCGUGAGGACCCUGCAUUCAGAAGGGAAGUUACCUAAAGGGUGUUCCGUGCUCACACUUCAGUCAGUGAAUGUGUUACGCAAGUAUAUCUCCCUCCUGGACCUGCCCUUUACUCUGCUUCAGACCCGGGAUGUCCUCUUCGUGCUCACCAGCAAAGAAGUGGCACAGGCCAAGAAAGCCAUGUCCUGCCACCGCAGCCAGCUGCUCUGGUUCCGCCGCCUCUACGUGCUCUUCUCCAGGUACAUGAGAAUCAACUCUCUGCACUUCCUCUGAAGCCUUGAAGAGCUUUCCGGUCCGAAGAAGAAAGGGAGAAGAACGAGCCCAGGAAUCCUGGCGCCUGGCCGUGAGCUGGCUCGCCUCCCCGGGGCCGAGGCAGACAGAGCUCUGCUCAUCCAUGCCAAAUUGACAAGCUGAUCUUCAAAUUCAUACAGAAGUGCAAGAGACUCUGAAGCCAAAAACAGCCUUAAAGGACAAAGCUGGAAGAUUCACACAUCCCAAUUUCAAAAAUUACUGCCAAGACCUAAAUGCAAGAGCCAAAAUUAUUUGACUCUUAGAAGGAAACACAGAUUAAGUCUUUGUGACCUCGGAUCAGAUAACAGUUUUUUUUUUUUAAUUAAAAUUUUUUUAUGUUUAUUAUUUUGAGAGAGACAGAGCAUGAGUGGGGGAGGGACAGAGAGAGGGAGACACAGAAUCCAAAGCAGGCUCC